This 253-nucleotide ribosomal RNA is filed under the name uncultured bacterium. RNAcentral's name for it is "partial 16S ribosomal RNA". It matches the Rfam family "Bacterial small subunit ribosomal RNA", at positions 524 to 776 of the family's 1533-position model. The record is from RNAcentral.
UACGAAGGGGGCUAGCGUUGCUCGGAAUCACUGGGCGUAAAGGGUGCGUAGGCGGGUCUUUAAGUCCGGGGGGAAAUCCUGGAGCUCAACUCCAGAACUGCCCUUGAUACUGAAGAUCUUGAGUUCGGGAGAGGUGAGUGGAACUGCGAGUGUAGAGGUGAAAUUCGUAGAUAUUCGCAAGAACACCAGUGGCGAAGGCGGCUCACUGGCCCGAUACUGACGCUGAGGCACGAAAGCGUGGGGAGCAAACAGG